This 497-nucleotide ribosomal RNA is filed under the name uncultured bacterium. RNAcentral describes it as "partial 16S ribosomal RNA". It matches the Rfam family "Bacterial small subunit ribosomal RNA", at positions 29 to 507 of the family's 1533-position model. The record is from RNAcentral.
UAUGAACGCUGGCGGCGUGCCUAAUACAUGCAAGUCGAGCGAACAGACGAGGAGCUUGCUCCUCUGACGUUAGCGGCGGACGGGUGAGUAACACGUGGAUAACCUACCUAUAAGACUGGGAUAAAUUCGGGAAACCGGAGCUAAUACCGGAUAAUAUAUUGAACCGCAUGGUUCAAUAGUGAAAGACGGUUUUGCUUUCACUUAUAGAUGGAUCCGCGCCGCAUUAGCUAGUUGGUAAGGUAACGGCUUACCAAGGCAACGAUGCGUAGCCGACCUGAGAGGGUGAUCGGCCACACUGGAACUGAGACACGGUCCAGACUCCUACGGGAGGCAGCAGUAGGGAAUCUUCCGCAAUGGGCGAAAGCCUGACGGAGCAACGCCGCGUGAGUGAUGAAGGUCUUCGGAUCGUAAAACUCUGUUAUUAGGGAAGAACAAAUGUGUAAGUAACUAUGCACGUCUUGACGGUACCUAAUCAGAAAGCCACGGCUAACUACGUG